GAUGAACGCUAGCGGGAGGCCUAACACAUGCAAGUCGAACGGGAUUGGUAGCAAUACCAUGAGAGUGGCGCACGGGUGAGUAACGCGUAUGCAACCUGCCUUUAACAGAGGGAUAGCCCAUAGAAAUGUGGAUUAAUACCUCAUAGUUAUUUUGUUUCGCAUGGACUGAAAGAUAAAGCUCCGGCGGUUAAAGAUGGGCAGGCUUGACAUUAGCUAGUUGGUGAGGUAACGGCUCACCAAGGCGACGAGGUCUAGGGGUUCUGAGAGGAUGAUCCCCCACACUGGUACUGAGACACGGACCCGACUCCUACGGGAGGCAGCAGUGAGGAAUAUUGGUCAAUGGGCGCAAGCCUGAACCAGCCAUCCCGCGUGCAGGAUGACGGCCCUAUGGGUUGUAAACUGCUUUUGUACAGGAAGAAAAAUCUCUACGAGUAGGGAACUGCCGGUACUGUACGAAUAAGCAUCGGCUAACUCCGUGCCAGCAGCCGCCGUAA
Molecule: ribosomal RNA, 494 nt
Filed under: uncultured bacterium
Lineage: Bacteria
Description: partial 16S ribosomal RNA
Rfam family: Bacterial small subunit ribosomal RNA
Source: RNAcentral